RNAcentral lists this ribosomal RNA (253 nucleotides) under uncultured bacterium. Its description in RNAcentral is "partial 16S ribosomal RNA". It matches the Rfam family "Bacterial small subunit ribosomal RNA", at positions 524 to 776 of the family's 1533-position model. The record is from RNAcentral.
UACGGAGGGUCCAGGCGUUAUCCGGAUUUAUUAGGUUUAAAGGGUGCGCAGGCGGUUCUUUAAGUCAGUGGUGAAAGUUUGCAGCUUAACUGUAAAAUUGCCAUUGAAACUGAAGAACUUGAAUUGGGUAGAGGUAGGCGGAAUGUGUAGUGUAGCGGUGAAAUGCUUAGAUAUUACACAGAACACCGAUUGCGAAGGCAGCUUACUAUGCCUUUAUUGACGCUGAGGCACGAAAGCGUGGGUAGCGAACAGG